AGUGGGCCUCUCCCAGUGAGGAUGCUGCGAAGAAUGUGGAGUACCAGCAGGGCAAGGACAUCAUAUUCAACAGCAGUCAAAAAAACAAGAAGGGUAAUUCCACCAAGGGUACCUCUGCGCCACCAUCUUUCCCACCCCUGACUGCUGCCGAGCAAGCUCAACUCUACAAGAACCUUUCUCAGUGCCACACUCAAGAUGGGAAAUCCUGCAGACCUGCCGUCCUGUCAGUUGUUCCCGGGUAUGCCACAUCUUAUAUACCCAAGGCUGUCAAGCUGGAUUUACCCGAACCCCUCACCAGUUUGUACGACAAGAAGGCAAGAGACCUGAGCCUGGCUGAGCUACAAGAACAGGCAGAAGGAAUAUUUGAUGACUUGGCUGUCACUGAAGAACAGAGUGAUAUUGUAGAGGAGGAGACCCAAGCUCAGUCCAAAUCCAGAAUUUGGUACGAUCAGAGGAGUGGUAGGGUGACAGGAUCUACCUUCAGAGCAGCAACCAGAACAGACAUCAGAAAGCCAGCAGUGUCUCUCAUGAGACAGAUUUGUUACCCAAAGUCCCAUGUUUUCACCAGUGAGGCUACCAGAUGGGGAUGCAAGAAUGAAGAACUGGCCAGAAGUUAUUACGAAAUGCAGCAUCGACUAUCACACACAGAUGUCCUGGUGCGACCAGCCGGAUUCAGAAUUUCUACUCAGCACCCAUUUAUCGGGGCCUCACCUGAUGGGUAUGUGUCCUGUAGCUGCUGUGGCACAGGGGUAAUAGAAAUCAAAUGCCCAUUUUCAGCAAAGGACUUGUCUGUGAGUGAAGCUGUAAAUUCUGGUGGACACUUUUGCCUAGAAAAAAAUGUUGACGGAAAAAUUGAAGUCAAGCGAGACCAUCCAUACUUCUACCAAGUCCAGAUGCAGCUAUUUGUCACAAAAUGUGAUUACUGUGAUUUUAUUCUGUGGACGGAAAAGGAACUCUUUGUAGAACGCAUUGCAUUCGACUCAGAAUUCUUUCAAGUACAACUUGAACUCGCUCGUGCCUUCUUCACAAAAUGUAUUAUCCCAGAGUUGUUAGGAAAAUGGUUUUCUGCACCUAAACAACCAACUGCUGACUCCGAUCCCCAGCAACAGUGGUGCUACUGCCGUGCACCUGUGGCAGGGAACAUGCUCGUUUGUGCCUCAGGGUUCUGUGCCGUGAAGAGGUUCCACCAAACCUGCCUCCAGCUGAAAAGGGUACCAAAACAGUGGCUGUGUCCAAGCUGUAGGAAACUACGCAAUGCCCAAAAAAAACCUUAAUUACUUAGUCUUACUAACUUGUUCCUAUGUACUCAUGGUUGCACAGUAAGAAGAUAAUAAAAAGAAUUGUAUGUGUAAUAGCUGUGUCCUCCUUUAUCAUCCAGAACAUGUCGGGGAAAAUUGUGUUUUAACAUCUGGGUUGUCUCACCCUUUAAUGAGACUAGCAUACCGGUAGUCACCUUUUGAAACCUGAUUGAGUAAAAGGUUGAAAUCUUGGUAAACGCAAUGCCACAAUGUUGUUCUCUUCUGUCUGUAGUAGUAUCUGUGACGAGCAUAAAACAUGGAUAGAUCACUCAAAUCUAGUGUGUGAGAAAAGUAGUCACAACAAACAAGUGAGAAGCCAUCAUAAAAGGUUUAUUUUCUGUUGGCACACAAAUUCACUCAAAGGGCACCACAGAAUCUGGUACAUUUGUUAGUGCACAACA
Long non-coding RNA from Engraulis encrasicolus (European anchovy), 1699 nucleotides. RefSeq lists it as uncharacterized. The record is from RefSeq and is a predicted model, not a curated record. Lineage: Eukaryota; Metazoa; Chordata; Actinopteri; Clupeiformes; Engraulidae. The transcript has 3 exons.